GGAGGAUGGUCGGCAUUUGUCCGGGAGAAUGACAUCCAGAUGGGAGAUAUCUGCAUAUUUGAGCUCAUUGGGAAAUAUGAAAUGCGUGUACAUGUAUGUGCAAUUGGGAAGAAGGGGUUAGAUUACCAAAAUGGGACAGCUCCUAAAGAGUCGGAUAUCCUUGCUUCCUUGACAAGCUAGAGACCUUUGGUGUGAAACACUGUAGGAAAGAUUACUUCUUGCGUAAUAAAAGGCUUGGCGUUUCACUGGAAGAUAACGAAACUUGAAUACAUGGGAUCAGAAAAGGUACACAUAUCAAUGUUAUGGAGAAGCACUUGAGUAGAUUAUCAAAUAUUUGACUAGGUUGGCCAUAUGCCUUCAGUAGCU
Molecule: unclassified non-coding RNA, 366 nt
Filed under: Hevea brasiliensis (rubber tree)
Lineage: Eukaryota; Viridiplantae; Streptophyta; Magnoliopsida; Malpighiales; Euphorbiaceae
Source: RNAcentral